GCAUUACUGACGAGUCCCAAACAGGACGAAACAGUUGUCCAGUGU
This 45-nucleotide non-coding RNA is filed under the name Echinostoma caproni. Lineage: Eukaryota; Metazoa; Platyhelminthes; Trematoda; Plagiorchiida; Echinostomatidae. The record is from RNAcentral.